UACGUAGGGUGCAAGCGUUGUCCGGAAUUAUUGGGCGUAAAGAGCUCGUAGGCGGUUUGUUGCGUCGGCUGUGAAAUCCCGAGGCUCAACCUCGGGUCUGCAGUCGAUACGAGCAAACUAGAGUGUUGCAGGGGAGACUGGAAUUCCUGGUGUAGCGGUGAAAUGCGCAGAUAUCAGGAGGAACACCGGUGGCGAAGGCGGGUCUCUGGGCCGAUACUGACGCUGAGGAGCGAAAGCCAGGGGAGCAAACAGG
Molecule: ribosomal RNA, 253 nt
Filed under: uncultured bacterium
Lineage: Bacteria
Description: partial 16S ribosomal RNA
Rfam family: Bacterial small subunit ribosomal RNA
Source: RNAcentral